CCUACGGGAGGCAGCAGUGAGGAAUAUUGGUCAAUGGCCGUAAGGCUGAACCAGCCAAGUAGCGUGAGGGAAGAUUGCCCUAUGGGUUGUAAACCUCUUUUAUGCGGAGAUAAAGGUGUCCACGUGUGGAUGUUUGCAGGUACCGCAUGAAUAAGGACCGGCUAAUUCCGGGCAAGGAGCCGCGGUAAUACGGAAGGUCCGGGCGUUGUCCGGAUUUAUUGGGUUUAAAGGGAGCGUAGGCCGGUCUUUAAGCGUGCCGUGAAAUUUUGUGGCUGAACCAUGAGAGUGCGGGGGGAACUGGAGACCUUGAGUGCGCGGGAGGCAGGCGGAAUUCGUGGUGUAGCGGUGAAAUGCUUAGAUAUCACGAAGAACCCCGAUGGCGAAGGCAGCCUGCCGCAGCGAUACUGACGCUGAGGCUCGAAAGCGCGGGGAUCGAACAGGAUUAGAUACCCUAGUAGUC
Molecule: ribosomal RNA, 460 nt
Filed under: uncultured bacterium
Lineage: Bacteria
Description: partial 16S ribosomal RNA
Rfam family: Bacterial small subunit ribosomal RNA
Source: RNAcentral